RNAcentral lists this long non-coding RNA (3459 nucleotides) under Salmo salar (Atlantic salmon). Its description in RNAcentral is "lncRNA (ENSSSAG00000104296.1)". The record is from RNAcentral. Lineage: Eukaryota; Metazoa; Chordata; Actinopteri; Salmoniformes; Salmonidae.
AUGGUAGGUUUAUUUGAACAGUGAGAGACAGAAUAACAAUGAAAAUAUCCAGAAAAACGCAUGUUAUAAAAUGAUUUGCAUUUUAAUGAGGGAAAUAAGUAUUUGACCCAAAGAUUUCUGGCCAGAAAUUCUUUUUUAUUAUUAUUUAUUUUUUUAUAUUAUUUUAUUUUGUGUUGCCUGUUUUGCAUGUUAUUUUUGCAUUAAUACUUAUCACAUAUCAGUUUCCAAACAAUGUAAACUGAGGGGGAUCAACUGAGAGGGAUCAAGUUUCAGCUGAGAGGGAUCAAGUUUCAGCUGAGAGGGAUCAAGUUUCAGCUGAGAGGGAUCAAGUUUCAGCUGAGAGGGAUCAAGUUUCAGCUGAGAGGGAUCAAGUUUCAGCUGAGGGAUCAUCCCCCUUUAGCCCCUCGUGUUGCCAGGCAGAGCUGUUUUAUCCAGACGCACGUCCUGUGCUUUUUCAUUUGGACCAUAGGGCAUACAGACACAGCUUGGCUACAUUGUAACCUUGAUGUGGCCACCGCACACUAUCAUAUGGGCCAGGACUGUUACUUUUGUAACUGAAUGAAAACAUUUUAACAAUGUGAUUUAACCGAUUUGAAGUUGGAAAAUAGACGGCAAAAUGCCGAAUGGUGUUCAAUGCCUGUAAACAGCUUGUGGUGCACGCAGCUCAAUGAUAUUUAACUACAGCAUCGGAUCAACACCAUUGGAUCGACAGCAUCGGAUCAACACCAUUGGAUCAGCAGCAUUGGAUCGACAGCAUCGGAUCAACACCAUUGGAUCAGCAGCAUCGGAUCAACACCAUUGGAUCAGCAGCAUUGGAUCGGCAGCAUCGGAUCAACAGCAUUGGAUCAGCAGCAUCGGAUCAACACCAUUGGAUCAGCAGCAUCGGAUCAACAGCAUCGGAUCAACAGCAUCGGAUCAACACCAUUGGAUCAGCAGCAUCGGAUCAACACCAUUGGAUCGACAGCAUUGGAUCAGCAGCAUUGGAUCAACAGCAUCGGAUCGACACCAUUGGAUCGACAGCAUCGGAUCAACACCAUUGGAUCAGCAGCAUCGGACCGACACCAUCGAACAUUAAAACAACGAUACAAAUGUAACAGCACAAUAAAGUAGAUAAACAUUGUCUUUAGCAGGAGCCUUUUCAUCUAAACACCAGUGGUGAAACUAGUGCCUUCUAACUGCACUGGGCCAACACACUGGGCCCCAACACACUGGGCCAACACACUGGGCCAACACACUGGGCCAACACACUGGGCCCCAACACACUGGGCCAACACACUGGGCCAACACACUGGGCCAACACACUGUGCCCCAACACACUGGGCCCCAACACACUGGGCCCCAACACACUGGGCCCCAACACACUGGGCCCCAACACACUGGGCCCCAACACACUGGGCCCCAACACACUGGGCCAACACACUGGGCCAACGCACUGGGCCAACGCACUGGGCCCCAACACACUGGGCCCCAACACACUGGGCCAACACACUGGGCCCCAACACACUGGGCCCCAACACACUGGGCCAACACACUGGGCCCCAACACACUGGGCCCCAACACACUGGGCCAACACACUGGGCCAACACACUGGGCCCCAACACACUGGGCCCCAACACACUGGGCCAACACACUGGGCCCCAACGCACUGGGCCCCAACGCACUGGGCCAAUGCACUGGGCCAACGGACUGGGCCAACGGACUGGGCCAACGCACUGGGCCCCAACACACUGGGCCAACGGACUGGGCCAACGCACUGGGCCAACACACUGGGCCCCAACACACUGGGCUAACACACUGGGCCAACACACUGGGCCAACGGACUGGGCCAACGGACUGGGCCAACGCACUGGGCCAACGGACUGGGCCAACACACUGGGCCAACGGACUGGGCCAACGCACUGGGCCAACACACUGGGCCAACGCACUGGGCCAACACACUGGGCCCCAACACACUGGGCUAACACACUGGGCUAACACACUGGGCCAACGGACUGGGCCAACGCACUGGGCCAACACACUGGGCCCCAACACACUGGGCUAACACACUGGGCCAACACACUGGGCCCCAACACACUGGGCCCCAACACACUGGGCCCCAACACACUGGGCCAACGCACUGGGCCAACGCAGUGGGCCCCAACACACUGGGCCAACGCACUGGGCCAACGCAGUGGAGCGCAAGCAAAGAAACAACUAGACUUUUGAGUAAUCAGAACCAUUCAUUUUGAGGUGACGGCGGUACGGGGUGCAAAAUGCAAUCUGUUCAUUAUUUUAUCACAUUAAAUUAGAUGUGUCCAUUUUAUAUAUAGACUAGCUCAAAACAUUACUAAUCACUGAACAUGACAAAUUACCCGAUGGGUCAUUUUCUGGUACAACAUAGAGGUGCAAAAACAUUCAUUCAGACACGAUGGACACAGGCCUCUCCCACCUGGACACGAGGAACACCUGUGUGAGGAUGUUGUCCACUCCAAGCUUGACACUAAAGCUGAAGGCCCUUGGUAUGAGCACCUCCCUCUAUAACUGGAUCCUGGACUUCCUGAUGGGCUGCCCCCUGGUGGUGAGGGUAGGUAACAACACAUCUGCCACUCCAACACCGUCAUUAAGUUUGGAAGUCCAGGGAGGAGGUUAGAGCGCUGGCAACCAGCUACAGGGAGGAGCUUAGAGCCCUGGCAACCAGCUACAGGGAGGAGGUUAGAGCCCUGGCAACCAGCUACAGGGAGGAGCUUAGAGCCCUGGCAACCAGCUACAGGGAGGAGGUUAGAGCCCUGGCAACCAGCUACAGGGAGGGGGUUAGAGCCCUGGCAACCAGCUACAGGGAGGGGGUUAGAGCCCUGGCUCAUAUACCUCAAAUAUGCCAUAUACCUCAAAUAUCUAAUCAAAUUCCAAAUCAUAUCAAAUGUAUUUAUAAAGCCCUUCUUACAUCAGCUGAUAUCUCAAAGUUCUAUACAGAAACCCAGCCUAAAACCCCAAACAGCAAGAAAUGCAGGUGUAGAAGCACGGUGGCUAGGAAAAAAUCCCUAGAAAGGCCAAAACCUAGGAAGAAACCUAGAGAGGAACCAGGCUAUGAGGGGUGGCCAGUCCUCUUCUGGCUGUGCCGGGUGGAGAUUAUAACAGCACAUGGCCAAGAUGUUCAAAUGUUCAUAAAUGACCAGCGUGGUCAAAUAAUAAUAAUUACAGUGGUUGUCGAGGGUGCAACAGGUCAGCACCUCAGGAGUAAAUGUCAGUUGGCUUUUCAUAGCCGAUCAUUGAGAGCAUCUCUACCGCUCCUGCUGUCUCUAGAGAGUUGAAAACAGCAGGUCUGGGACAGGUAGCACGUCCGGUGAAUAGGUCAGGGUUCCAGCAGGUCUGGGACAGGUAGCACGUCCGGUGAACAGGUCAGGGUUUCAGCAGGUCUGGGACAGGUAGCACGUCCGAUGAACAGGUCAGGAUUCCAUGUGUUGUUUGAUGCUAGAAACCACU